This 76-nucleotide transfer RNA is filed under the name Caudoviricetes sp. RNAcentral describes it as "tRNA-Thr". It matches the Rfam family "tRNA". Rfam says of the family: Transfer RNA (tRNA) molecules are approximately 80 nucleotides in length. Their secondary structure includes four short double-helical elements and three loops (D, anti-codon, and T loops). The record is from RNAcentral. Lineage: Duplodnaviria; Heunggongvirae; Uroviricota; Caudoviricetes.
GCUAGUGUAGCUCAAUAGGUAGAGCAACGGCUUUGUAAGCCGUGGAUUGCGGGUUCAAUUCCUGCCACUAGCUCCA